Centrocercus urophasianus (Greater sage-grouse) is the source of this 6529-nucleotide long non-coding RNA. RefSeq lists it as uncharacterized. The transcript has 2 exons. The record is from RefSeq and is a predicted model, not a curated record. Lineage: Eukaryota; Metazoa; Chordata; Aves; Galliformes; Phasianidae.
UACCUUCACCCACACUCCUGUACUUUUAUUACUAUCUAGUAAGGCCAGAAUGUCAGCAUUAGUAAAUUUAUACAUAGACACGUCUUUUGGUGUUUGUAUGGCAUGUUUGUCAAUGGGAUUUGCCUAUCUCACCAUAGUAAAAUCCUGAAUCUCUAAAGAAUUCCUGAAAAGGAGGCAGAACUAUGUUCCCUUUUAUAGAUUCUUAAGACAUAUUAGGAAAGCCUGAAGAACUUGCUUUGUUUUUGUAGUAAGGUUUCUGCAAAGGUCUUGUUUUAUUUUAAAUAUGUAUCACUUCUUGUCUAUCUUAUUUUUACUGAAAGACUGUGAGUAGCUGGGAAAACAAAGAGGUGAAGCCGUCAUCUCUAGCCAUCAUCUGUCACAAAGAAACUGUCAUUUUAGAGGGAAAAGGGAUUUUCAGUCAGGCUAUAUGAAACUCCCAUUUUGUUUGGCUGUUGUUAAAAUGUUUAAUUCAAGCUUUGGGCGAACAGCCAAGAGAAAAAAAUGUCACUCAUCACCCUACUGCUUCCGAUGGGAACUGAGGGGGACUUCCAUUCUACUCCUUUCCUCCUCCAUUGCUCUUAUGUGUAAAACCAAGAUAAGACGGUAAUACUGCACAAAUUUUCAAAGGAAAAAGGAAAAAAGUACAAGAAAAUUUUAAACUGCACCUUGCACCUUUUAGAUAUUUAGUAGAUUGGGAAAAGUACCAUUUUUAUUUGUCUUUGCAGACCAUCUUUAAAUUGUGCUAUGCUCACAUUUACCAUAUACAUUUAAUCAGAAUCUGUGCAAGAAAAGGGAAGUCACCUGAAGAAUUAUGAGAAUUAGUUACCUUUGGGGAAAAAGUUCAGACACUUAGCCAUAUUUUAGGUUGAUGGUUUGUCUUUUUGUUGUUUUUUUUUUUUUUCCUUGUUUUGUUUUGUUUUAAUUGGAAGUCCUUGAGUUAGUUGUUAACAUAAACUGAGCCCAUUAGUUAUUUACAUGGUAACAUGAGGAUACUUCCUGUCCUUAAGUGUUUGAUGUUUUACAGUAAUGGAGAGCUGGGGUAAGUCAGACAACUUCAACAGACGUAUUCCAUUGAGUCCUCAUUUCAUCCAGCAACUUGUUUAUGCUGUUCUAAAUCCGCUCAGUUUUUCUUUCAGUGAAGAUCGCCUUUUAAAAUUUUCUUAUGUCUCAAAUACAAUAUUUAGACAUUUCCAUGAGUAUAAGGUGGUCCCUGUCAACUUGCUAACAACUACAUUCUGGGCUACCAGCCAGCUUGGCCUUUGUCUUAGCAUUUAUUUAGGCUAGAGUAUGAUAUGUAAACAGAAAAAGACUUUGUAAGCAAAAAGUACGUUUAAGUCAUCUAAAUAAUUAUAUAUUUAAGAAGUCUAAAUGAAAAAGUGUUACUGAGCUUGAAAAGUUAAGCAGCUAGAUAUUAGGAAAUUCCAGAUUAUACGCAGCAUUAGUUUGAUCCCAGAGUACCCAUUCAGUGCUAAAAACAGGACAUGCUUCUGGGAGGAGAGAGACUGCAUUAAAAAAAUGUAGCUAAAGAUUAUAUUAUUGGCUGUACACCAGUGGGUAGAAUUAAGUCUGUUUGGGCCAUUAUGAAGCUAGAAUUUCCUAAUCUUGCUUCAGCUUGCAGUUUAAGUAAUGUUCCUUCAUCGUUUCUUUUAGUUAUGUAAUUUUCCACAUAGCUUUUAAAAAAGAGAGAAAAAUGAUUUGUCAUUGCAUGAUGGGGUGGUUGUUGCAUUACUGAACCCACAUCACUUGUGCAAGGAUUUCAUCUGAGCUGGGAGCAGUAGAAGAUAAUCAUCACAAAGCCAACGGCCAAUUCUUGGAUCACAGAAGAGGUCCACAUGCUGGUCAGGAGGCACAAAGUUCUGCUCAUCCCUUUUCUAGAUGUGAAAGGCGCCCACUUUUGGGGGAAGGAAGAUGCUCCUGACAGCUUUAGUUUGGCAUGGGGAAUGGCAGGACUGGGUUAGCAUUAUUUGCCAUCACAUAAAUAAAUAGAGAAAAAGUACUAAUUAGUAAACAAACAGAACCUACAUAGUGUGUUGGCCAGGCGCUGGAAUUAAUUAGUGAUGGAACUGAUCUCCUAAUGGAGUGAUAAAAAAGUUCCCAUUUCUUUUUAAUUUCUAUGUGAUUUGGUAUGAUUUUACUUUUUACUUUUUUUUCCUACGACUUCACUUGCAGCAGGCUUAUGUGGAACCCUUAUUUUUAUAAAUAUAAGAAGCAGAACUGCUGUACAUUGUUAAGCUGAGUUGUCCUCAUUUUGAAGUUUCAGAUGGAAUAAAUGCAAGGUAGCCAUAUACUGCUAUAAAACUGCCUUUAAGUCAGUUGCUAUUUCUGCAUGAUCUAUUUUGCACUGUAUUGUAAUUCAGGUGGGCUGCUCACGUGGGCGCCUCUAAUUUCGGUGGAGAUGUGUGAUUUGUGAGCUGUGAGCAGCUGUGAGGCCUGGCAUAGUUUAAUUUAAGGAUCUGUCUCCUUCUGUGUUUAUGAAGAUAAUUAUACUCAUGUUAAAUGUAAAAUAUCAGUUCUCUAAAUUCAGUUAAUGUUUUUUGUUGGUUUGUUUGAUUGGUUGGUUUGUUUUAGUGGAAAUCUGUCUCAGUAAGACUGGAAUUGUUUCAGUGUGAGAAGGUAGUAGAAUCUGUUAUGUGAGUGUGUCUGAUAAGACAAAUGUAUACCAGAAUUGUCAUUAUGUUGUGGCAAAAAGGCUACAGCUGACCAAAUACUUUGACCAAAAAAAAAGAAGCAAAAAAUAAGAAAAUCAGGUUUCCAAUAGUCUGCUUUUGAGGCUGAAUUGCCUUUUGUAGCAUAGAAAACUCACUUUUCACAUCCAGUGGGAGAUUUGUACCCAACAGAUCCCAAUGUUGCUGCAGUCCUAUGUAAGUGUAUUACUUUGCUGUUUCAAAUUUACCAAGUCUUGACACAGCACUUUUCAAAGUCACUUGCUCUUUUCCUAUUCAUGGUAGGAAAUUUGUCUUUUCAUUCCUUAGGCUGUUUUAGAUUCUGUGUUUGAUAGGAGUAAUUCUUUUGUUGUUGUUCCAAAUGCUCCAUCAUUUGAGCAAUUUCAGAUUGUAACAAAUUGUUCAUACUGGUACGUUAAUGAGUGUGGAUUCCAAACAUCUGUCUGACAGAACACAUUUCAUUUGGUUACGUAGCAGUAUUUUCAAAGCUAUCACUAUUUUUUCAUUUUUCUUUUGGCAAACAGUAAGAAAAAAGAGCAACAUUUCUACAGUGUAACUGUAGAAGUCAAAGUUUGUUUUGUUGGGUUUUGCAUUCAUGUAUGCCUACUUCCUUAGCAGAAGCGUCAUGAUUUUUAGAAUAUUUUUUCAUGAUUUAUUUCUUUUUCUAUUCUGUUGUGCAGUAUCUAACUGCAUCCUUCUAAAUUUCUUUUUCCUUAAUGACCACUAUUAUUUAGUUGGCUUUUGUUUUGUUUUGUUUUGUUUUCACUAGAACUCAGCUACAAGCUACUUUUACUUAAAAUAGUCACAGCUUGUAGUAAGUAGCACAAGUUUCUAGAGAUGUUCUCCACUCAGUAUCAAUUACAGGACUUGUUAUAAUGAUAUGUAGGUUAAAUUUGACGAUUUGUGGAAUACAAGAAGUCAGAAUUAACAUAGUUUUAAGUAUAAAAGUGAUGCUUCAACUUCAUCUUGAACAGCUUUCAUAUCUGCACAUCCGUUUUGCAAACUUGCAGUUAGUAUUUACUGUCUUUUGUGACUUUGUAAUGGUUGGUGCUUUUCUCAGUGUUUCAUCUCUGAAUGUGGGACCUCAGGAACGUAAAUACCCCUGUGCUUCCCAUAACUGUGAAGAAAAUCCUGAAAAAAGGGAUAUCUUGGGUGCAAUCUUAAGGCUUGUAGAGAAGCAAACAAAUUGAAAGUAAGACCAUUUGUUUUAAAAUGAAAUUAUUUUAAAAAGUCCAUCCUGGUAAUAGAGAAAACAGGUUAAGCCCAUCCUGAGAUUUUCAAAGCUUGCCAUAGAAUACUCUGCUGUUACAGCUGAGUUUUUAACCCCCAGAUAAUUUGAUGUUCAUUGUGAGAUUACCAGUUUUCUACAUAGAUUUUAAGAAGCAGCUCAAAGACCAAUGUAUUUUUUUUUUAACUCUCAUUUUUUUAGUACUUCAUGAUUGUGGAGUCUUGAAGGUUUGCUUGUUUUUUGAAACUGGCAGUGCUACCUAUUUGUUACUAACUUUUGCUUCAGCCAGCAGUCUCUAUGACAUGUGCUGUUAAAGGAAUGAAAAUUUAUCUUUUAUGGUCAUAUCUUGAAUCCAUACCAUCUUAAUUGUAUUCAUUGCGUAAGUUUUGUGUUAGAUCAUGUUUUCUGAAUUCUCCUACACAUUGCAAUGCAUAAGAUAGAACUUUAUUUGUUAGGGCAACAAUUUGGUAAUGUUAUAUAUAAUCAUAUUUAUAUUUUAGUAUAAAUAUAACUGGAGAAAAAAAAUAAGCAGGGUCAGAAGUAGGAGUGGAAGACUUAUGGGUGAAAUAGACUUGGUGAGACAACCCAGCAUGGAUGGGAAGGCUGUCCUGAAAGGAUGCUGCUGCAUGGAGCUCUUUCAAAAACUGCUGGUGGAAAGACAGCAGCAGCAAACAAUGAAAUGAAACGUGCUAUGUAGGAAACUGUCACUGUUGGUUGUCAUCUGCAAACAGAUGUUCCUGGGCAACGUUAAGGCCUUAUGGUGAUACCUGAAGGUGAGCAGCUUCUGGCGAGGUGGCAGUAGUUUUCUGGGGACAAAAGGCCGUGGGGAUGGCCUACAGGCUUGAGACAUUAAAACUUAAUCCAUACGGAGGUCCACAUGUCUCUAUUUUGUAUGCUCUGAGUUUGUAGAGCAUGCUUAGGAACAUCAUCGAGGGAAGUUACAUCAGCUGGAGUCACUGACUAACCUGUGAGAAAAACAAGCACAAAAGAUUAAUGGUGCAGUCAAUGAUGAUAUAGAGGAUGGGAAUUCAUCCAGUGCUGUAACCAUCCACAUCAGAAAAGGAAAAAAAAAAAGAUUGUUUUACUGGAUAUUGCAUUAAUUCCUGCUUGAAAUGAAUUUCAUUCUGGACUGAAAUUAGUGUUUUCUAAGUGUUCAGAUUUACUUCUGAGUAGACAUUUUUUAUCCUGGACAUAGUAAAAAAAAAAAAAAAAAGAGAAAAUGCUAGGGUUUUCUUUUAAAAAUACAAGUAUUUCUUCUUUCAGCUGGUAUUGUAUGUUUCCAUUGUCGGCUAAUUUCUGCUUUAUUUACUGUCAAUUCAGUGCUCAUCUCUCUGGGGUGAUUUCCUCAAUAAAAUGAGAAGGAUUUAGUAUGAUGCACGGAAAACUUCUGGUCGUUUUUCCAGGGCUGGGUGAUUCUGUCACAUUCCCUUCACUACGAGGACUCCUACCUGCUCUUGUGAAACCACCUCCUGCAGCCGAGGUUGCUGCUGUGCUGGUGUGAGCUGGCUGGCUGCUGCCAUUUCUCUGACAGCUCCAUAACCUUCAGGGCAUGGCUAGAGCUGAGCGCCUGGUGCUCUCAAGGAGACAGUUUGCUUGUGACAGAAAUAUAAACUGCUUUUGAUAUAUAGCACCAAGCUUCGCUCCUCUAUCAUUGUGUUGGGAAACUUGCACCUCUUAAGGCUGACACUGCAGUCAGGAGUCAUCCCAGCAGGUUUAGGUUAGGCUCACCAGGUUGUUGUCUGCUAUUUUGUACUUUCUUCCUUGUCUGCUGUGCUCCCCACAACUGCACGACUGCAUUAGUACGCUGUCUCCGUAGCCUUCAUCUUCUGUUUCACAUUAACUCACUCUGGAUGUACGUGACAGAACAUUUGCUUUUCCCUGGCAGCAGCUGAAAUUUUCCUUGAUGAGCCUGAGAUCAAAUGUCUGUAUUUGCUCAGAAUGUGUAAUCUUUCAUUUUCCAAAAGUGAGUUACUAAUUAACUGUCAAACGGGAACAAAAUGUAAACCAAGACACUGCUGUCUCCCAGACCUUUCAGUGCUCUCAUCUGGGGCUCCUUGAGCAGCAUCCUAAUGUGAAUGCCACUCACUGAAGAUGCAGAACAAGAAUGUUCAGUGCUCUGUGUAGCAGGAUAUUCAGCCCAUUUGCAGUAUCAAGAAAUCUAACGGCUUUUUCCUUGGCAGGAGCAACCAGCAGGAAGACAACAGGGGUAGGUUCUUCUACUCAGUAGUUAAAAAUGAAUAGACAGAGUCCCACUAGGCAAAAGUUGGUGACAGAGAUGAAGUGAAAGUGGACUCCUCUAGAAGCUUGUCUUGCAGUUGGGAUUGACAAGGUCUCAUCUUUCAUCUUGGCCUCUAAUGAGCAGCAUUUUUUGUCUAAUAGCUAUAUUUGUUUCAGUUUCUAUGUCUGGUAAAGUUUUCCAAGACAUUGAAUUAAAGCUAACGCUCAGUCAAAAUGCAGUUGCCUAUUUUAAAGGCACUUCCAUUUUAGACUGGUACUAGGAAAAUAUACACACUACUUUAUUGCUUACACUGUACUUUCUGAGUUAUUUUUCACACUCUAAUCAAAGUAAUGCCAUAUCUGUUUGCUGAUAUGUUUUUAAUCACUUGUCGUUCAAAUAAAUUGCUUACCACACUAAUUA